Molecule: ribosomal RNA, 462 nt
Filed under: Raspailia nuda
Lineage: Eukaryota; Metazoa; Porifera; Demospongiae; Axinellida; Raspailiidae
Description: eukaryotic LSU rRNA
Source: RNAcentral
UGAAAAGAACUUUGGAGAGAGAGUCCAAGAGACCGCGAAACCGUUGGGAGGGAAACGAAUGUGGCCAUGAAGACUCCACUCAGGUUCAUGGAGCCUCGGUUCGAGCAUUGCCGUCGGUGUGAGCCCGUUGGGCCUAUCCGUGGCGAGCUCGUCGGGGCUUCUGCAAUCCCGUUUGGAGUCCGCCAACGGCGGUCGCCUGCGGUCCAGCAGGGUCGGAGGGAGGUGACUCCAUCUCUAGACUCGUUCUGGGGGAGGAAAGCAUAUAGCCUCCGGCCUGGUGAUCGCGGACGGCCGAGGAGAGUUGCGACCUUUCGCACUGUGCAGUGCAGGCUCCCUGGGGGCCGGGUCGCUCGUGGGCCUGCGUGCUUCGCGGCGAGCUACUGCUUGCAGUGCUCGUUGACGUUAAAGUUGCGCUCGCUAGCGAGGUCGACCACGAUGUGCGCUGUAGUCGUUGGUGUGCGU